Molecule: non-coding RNA, 302 nt
Organism: Xyrichtys novacula (pearly razorfish)
Lineage: Eukaryota; Metazoa; Chordata; Actinopteri; Labriformes; Labridae
Source: the annotation of a GenBank genome assembly
CUCAUCAAUUUGGAAGGCUAAGUUUUAGGUUGUCUGUUAGUAUCCAGAAGUUUUGUUUGAAACGCCUCACGCAGGGGCUCCAAAAUAUAUGUAGUGAUUUGAAAUGAGCCUCAUACGGUCGCACCAAAAUAUAUGUAGUGAUUUGAAAUGAGCCUCAUACGGUCGCACCAAAAUAUAUGUAGCGAUUUGAAAUGAGCCUCACAAGGCCGCACCAAAAUAAUACUUGGCGAUUGGAAUUUAUAAUAAAUGUCUGAAGAUUAAUAAUCUCAAAUUAUGACAUUUAUGCACUCGUUGAAAGGGGC